RNAcentral lists this ribosomal RNA (253 nucleotides) under uncultured bacterium. RNAcentral's name for it is "partial 16S ribosomal RNA". It matches the Rfam family "Bacterial small subunit ribosomal RNA", at positions 524 to 776 of the family's 1533-position model. The record is from RNAcentral.
UACGAAGGGGGCUAGCGUUGCUCGGAAUCACUGGGCGUAAAGGGCGCGUAGGCGGAUCUUUAAGUCGGGGGUGAAAGCCCAGGGCUCAACCCUGGAAUUGCCUUCGAUACUGAAGAUCUCGAGACCGGAAGAAGUAAGUGGAACUGCGAGUGUAGAGGUGAAAUUCGUAGAUAUUCGGAAGAACACCAGUGGCGAAGGCGGCUCACUGGCCCGGUACUGACGCUGAGGUGCGAAAGCGUGGGGAGCAAACAGG